Macaca fascicularis (crab-eating macaque) is the source of this 3624-nucleotide long non-coding RNA. The record is from Ensembl. NCBI's taxonomy places the organism in Eukaryota, Metazoa, Chordata, Mammalia, Primates, Cercopithecidae.
GGAUCGAUGAUGACUUCCAUAUAUACAUUCCUUGGAAAGCUGAACAAAAUGAGUGAAAACUCUAUACCGUCAUCCUCGUCGAACUGAGGUCCAGCACAUUACUCCAGCAGGGACUAGACAGACAGGGCGAACAUCCAUUUGUUGACAUGGGUUAUACCAAGGGUUCUGUUUGGCCUUAGGAUGGUGUCUUUUAUGGUUGAAUGGGAUCACAGGAGAGUGGUGGCUCCCAGGCAUAGGAAAUUUCUUGUUUGAAGGACUUUGUCAGUGAGCGUGGGUAACAUAUGCAUUGUCUGCAAGACUGGAUGAACGUCCAUGUGGCCUAGCAAGAGUUAGCUGGUAACCCGCCUCUGAUUGCCAGUUUGUUCUUGAGUCCUUGUUCUGGGUUCUCAGGUCCCCUGGAAGAAACAGAUCUGUCUAGUUGGGAGGAGGGUACAAGGCCACAUCUUUGUCAUUUGUUGGCUAACUUUGUCCUUGGUUGAGGACAUUAGAGUUUUGGUCACUGGGCAUAGGCUGUGUGCCUGUGUUAUAUCCCAUGUGAUUUGGGGACAUGUAUUUCGCAUGAACAGGUGAGCUCCUGCUCCAAGCUGGUUCUAAUCCCUGAGGAGCCUCUGGCUUCUCCUAUACCCGAUAGAGGUUAAAGCCUUCCUCCUUAGGGGUUCAUGGUCCCAAAGCUUUUGUGAGUGGCAUGACAGGCAUUGAGGCAGUGAUGUUGAGAGGUAUGUACAAUGUCAGUGCUCUUUAGCAGCAUGGUGCACUGCAGGGGCCUCCAGCCCCGAGAUGAGCAUCCCCACUUCCGUGCAUUUUGCGUCCAUGAACAAGGGAGGCCACAUAAAGGCAGAUAGCAGAUGUACCCCAGGACACUGGAUAACAUGGCCCUGUGACCUGUGCACCUGUCUGCCUUUCUGAAGCACGCCUGUGUUUCCUCUGCACUUCGCAGGUGGUGUUGGCGUCAAGGCAGGCUUGUAUCAUGAGGAAUAAUUGUCAUCUCGUAUGAUCCUUGGAGAUGGCAGGAAGCCCCUGGACACACAUGGUGUGGACUCCUUCAGAGGCUGUUGAAGCCUUCCUUAAUGUAGCACUGGCAUGGAAGGCAGGCCCGUGUUGGCGAGGGACAAUUGUUAUCUCAUGUGAGCCGCGGAGAUACCAGGAAGCCCCUGGACACAAUGGCAAAGACUCCUUUGGAAGUUGUUGGAUCCCUUCUGAAUGUGGCGUUGGCAUAAAAGGCGAGCUUGUAUCAUGAGGAAUGAUUGUCAUCUCGUAUGAUCCUUGGAGAUGGCAGGAAGCCCCUGGACACACAUGGUGUGGACUCCUUCAGAGGCUGUUGAAACCUUCCUUAAUGUGGUGUUGGCGUCAAGGCAGGCUUGUAUCAUGAGGAAUAAUUGUCACCUCGUAUGAUCCUUGGAGAUGGCAGGAAGCCCCUGGACACACAUGGUGUGGACUUCUUCAGAGGCUGUUGAAACCUUCCUUAAUUGGUGUUUGUGUAAAAAGCAGGCUCAUGUUAGCAAGGAAUGAUUGUCAUCUCAUGUGAUCCUGCGAGAUGGCAGAAGUCUGGGGCCACAUGGAGUGUGGGCUCCUUCGGAGGCUGAUGGAACCCUCCUGAAUGAGUUGUGGCAAUGGAAGUAAGGCCAGUGGCUACGAGGGACAGUCUUCAUCUUGGAAGAUCCAUCGAGAUGGCAGGGAGCCCCUUGACAAGUGGAAUCUGGUCUCCUUUGGUGCUGCUGGUGGAUCCCACAGGUGGUCUGACAUGGAAGAAGGCCACAGGCUGCGAUGGAUGAUCUUUGUCUUGGGGGAUUCCUGGAGAUGGUGGGGAGCCCCUGAGCACGUGCAGCACAUGUGGCGUGGGCUUCUUCAGAAGCUGGUGGACCCCUGAGGAUGCUCGUCAAGGUUUUUCUGUGAGUUCUGUUAAAGAGUCGGAAAAUGGAGCCUAGAAGACAUGCUUCAGUUUCCAGGAUGGUUGUGUUUUCCAGAGAGGCAUAGAUGCCGGGUAUCUCUGUGUAGGGGGAGGAGACUCUGGACCACAGGAAUGAAGAGAGCAUCCUAGUUCAUUGUGGAACCAGCACAGAUUUCCAUAUGAAAGUUUUUUUUUUUAACCUUAAAAAGUGACAGAAUGGAGUGUAUCAUGGAAAAAUCUGACAUCAAAACCUCAAAAUGUGAUAUUGAUUGGGUGAGAUAGAAUUCCAUGGAAUUCCAUUGCCAAACCAGUGAAGUGCUAAUUUUGACAUUUGUACCAGCUGAUGUAGCUGUGAAGAAGCACAUCAAUACCACUUCUAAGGACAGCAUACACCAAGAACUGGGUUUCAUAUGGAUGAAUUUAUUCUUCCUUUGAGGCAAGACAAGAAGGAAAGAAAGUAUUGGGACUAAUGCCAUCCUCAAGGGCCAGUGGGAACUCUAAUAUUGAUUGGGUGAGAUACAAUUCCAUAGAAUUUUACCACUGAACCAGUGAAGGGCUAAUUUUGUCAUUUGUACCAGUUAACUAAUUUGGGAGGAAACAGAACAACACACUCCUGAGGGUAAAAUGGAAACUCUGAGAGUUUGGUUGGCGGCAUCUAUAUACCAUAGAAACAGAGCCUGGGAAGCAGAACAGUGAGACCCAAGAGAAAUGUUCCUGCCUGUACUUGGUCUGUUCCCACAUUUGCCUGAACUACUGAUUGACCUUUUGAGGGUGAUGAGAUGAUUGGUUGUCACAGAAUUCCGUGGACUUUAACCAGUGAUGCGCUGAUUUUGUCAUUUGUACCAGCUAACUCAUCUGGGAGGCAACAAAACAAUAUUCUCCUGAGAAUGAAGUGGACCAAGAACUGGGCUUCAUACGGAUGAAUUUAUGUUUUUCUCCAUGUGGAGACGUGAAGGAAAAGUAUAGGAAAUAAUUCUGCCUCCCACCCACAAGUCCCCAUGGGAAUUUCUCACAUGUUAAAAAGCAUUUUGUCCUGAAAAUAACAACAUUUUUUCUUAGGGAAUCAGGACACUCCAAUGACGGUGAGACUCUGGCUAUGCCAGUCAGCCAUGGGCUGGUCAUUGACUGUGAUGCUGGUCUCCAUGAUUGAAUAGUGUGGGUCAUUGGUGACAGAUAGCUGUGUGCUCAGUGUCUGUCACGUAUCUCAGGUUCAAAGUCCCUUUUAUAAAUGUGACUGGAUCAUGAUGACUUAAAAAUGGAUCUCGGAAUCUGAGCAAAACGAGUGACCAAACCACUUCUGUGCACUGAGGUCCAGCACAGGGACCAUGCCAGGCAAACACGUGGAGAGAGUUCAGUUUGGUCAGCAGCUGGUACCAAAAUGGCCCAUGGUAUUGGAAAACAAACCCACUCACAUAGGUUACAGCACAUGAAUUGUACAGAGGUUAAUGUGGACGAAGAACUAGAUUUCAUGUAAAAGAGUUUAUUCCUUCUACUUGAGGUGUGACUUGAAGGAAAGUAAUGGAAAUAAUUCUGCCCUCCCAUUCUCAAGGGCCGGGGGAAUUCUAAUCUUGAACGGAAGUGAUUUUGGAAUUGCAUGGAAUUCUCACUGCCAUCCCAAAGAAAUGCUGAUCUUGUCACUCUCACCUGUUCCGUUGCCUGGGGCAGAACAAAAGGAUGUACUUCAAAGAGCGACAUGAACCAAGAACUGGGUUUCAUAUGAAAUAUUUUAUUCUGUC